GGUUAAGUUAACAAGGGCGCAUGGUGAAUGCCUUGGCACUAGGAGCCGAUGAAGGACGGGACUAACACCGAUAUGCUUCGGGGAGCUGUACGUAAGCUAUGAUCCGGAGAUUUCCGAAUGGGGCAACCCAGCAGUUUUAAUCAACUGUUACCACUAGAUGAAUUCAUAGUCUAGUUGGAGGUGAACGCUGUGAACUGAAACAUCUCAUUAGCAGCAGGAAUAUAAAGAAAUUUCGAUUCCCUAAGUAGCGGCGAGCGAACGGGGAACAGCCCAAACCAAAGUGCUUGCACUUUGGGGUUGUAGGACUGAACAUUUGAGUUACCAAAGAACUUGAUAGUCGAAGGAUUUGGGAAAAUCCGCCAUAGAUGGUGAUAGCCCAGUAGAUUAAAUCAAAUUCUCUCAGUUCAGGAUCCUGAGUACGGCGGAACACGUGAAAUUCCGUCGGAAUCCGGGAGGACCAUCUCCCAAGGCUAAAUACUACCUAGUGACCGAUAGUGAACCAGUACCGUGAGGGAAAGGGUGAAAAGCACCCCGGGAGGGGAGUGAAAUAGUUCCUGAAACCAUGUGCCUACAAUAAGUCAGAGCGCGUUAAUGCGUGAUGGCGUGCCUUUUGUAGAAUGAACCGGCGAGUUAUGAUCCCGUGCAAGGUUAAGACUAAAAAGUCGGAGCCGUAGCGAAAGCGAGUCUGAAAUGGGCGUUUUGAGUACGAGGUUAUAGACCCGAAACCAGGUGACCUAUCCAUGUCCAGGUUGAAGGUGCGGUAAAACGCACUGGAGGACCGAACCCGUGUAAGUUGAAAAUUGCUGGGAUGAGGUGUGGAUAGCGGUGAAAUUCCAAACGAACUUGGAGAUAGCUGGUUCUCUCCGAAAUAGCUUUAGGGCUAGCCUCGGAAUUAGGAUCAUGGAGGUAGAGCACUAUUUGGACUAGGGGCCCGUCUUGGGUUACUGAAUUCAGAUAAACUCCGAAUGCCAUUGAUUCAUAUCCGGGAGUCAGACGAUGAGUGAUAAGAUCCACCGUCGAAAGGGGAACAGCCCAGACCAUCAGUUAAGGUCCCUAAAUGUAUGCUAAGUGGAAAAGGAUGUGGAGUUGCAUAGACAACUAGGAUGUUGGCUCAGAAGCAGCCACCAUUUAAAGAGUGCGUAAUAGCUCACUAGUCGAGUGAUCCUGCGCCGAAAAUGUACCGGGGCUAAGCAUACUACCGAAACCAUGGAUGCGACCAUUAGGUCGCGUGAUAGGAGAGCGUUCUAAGGGCGGUGAAGCAAGAUCGUGAGGACUUGUGGAGCGCUUAGAAGUGAGAAUGCCGGUAUGAGUAGCGAAAGAUAGGUGAGAAUCCUAUCCACCGAAUGACUAAGGUUUCCUGGGGAAGGCUCGUCCUCCCAGGGUUAGUCGGGACCUAAGUCGAGGCCGAGAGGCGUAGACGAUGGAUAACAGGUUGAGAUUCCUGUACUAGUUAAGUGCGUUUGAGCAAUGGAGGGACGCAGGAGGCUAAGAUGUGCAUUCUGUUGGAUUAGAAUGUCCAAGCAGUAAGUCUUGUGAAGAGUCAAAUGCUUUUCACUUUAAGGACAAGCUGUGAUGGGGAGCGAAAUUUAGUAGCGAAGCGUCUGAUGUCACACUGCCGAGAAAAGCUUCUAGUGAGUACUUAACUACCCGUACCGCAAACCGACACAGGUAGUCGAGGAGAGAAUCCUAAGGUGAGCGAGUGAACUCUCGUUAAGGAACUCGGCAAAAUGACCCCGUAACUUCGGGAGAAGGGGUGCUGAUCGCAAGAUCAGCCGCAGUGAAUAGGCCCAGGCGACUGUUUAUCAAAAACACAGGUCUCUGCAAAAUCGUAAGAUGACGUAUAGGGGCUGACGCCUGCCCGGUGCUGGAAGGUUAAAAGGAUGGGUUAGCUUCGGCGAAGCUCAGAAUUGAAGCCCCAGUAAACGGCGGCCGUAACUAUAACGGUCCUAAGGUAGCGAAAUUCCUUGUCGGGUAAGUUCCGACCCGCACGAAAGGCGUAACGAUCUGGGCACUGUCUCAACGAGAGACUCGGUGUGAAUUUAUAUUGUCCGUGAAGAUGCGGACUACCCGCGACAGGACGGAAAGACCCCAUGGAGCUUUACUGUAGCUUGAUAUUGAGUGUUUGUACAGCUUGUACAGGAUAGGUAGGAGCCAUAGAAACCGGAACGCUAGUUUCGGUGGAGGCGUUGGUGGGAUACUACCCUCGCUGUAUGACCACUCUAACCCGCACCACUAAUCGUGGUGGGAGACAGUGUCAGGUGGGCAGUUUGACUGGGGCGGUCGCCUCCUAAAAAGUAACGGAGGCGCCCAAAGGUUCCCUCAGAAUGGUUGGAAAUCAUUCGCAGAGUGUAAAGGCACAAGGGAGCUUGACUGCGAGACAGACAGGUCGAGCAGGGACGAAAGUCGGGCUUAGUGAUCCGGUGGUACCGUAUGGAAGGGCCAUCGCUCAACGGAUAAAAGCUACCCUGGGGAUAACAGGCUUAUCUCCCCCAAGAGUCCACAUCGACGGGGAGGUUUGGCACCUCGAUGUCGGCUCAUCGCAUCCUGGGGCUGUAGUCGGUCCCAAGGGUUGGGCUGUUCGCCCAUUAAAGCGGUACGCGAGCUGGGUUCAGAACGUCGUGAGACAGUUCGGUCCCUAUCCGUCGCGGGCGUAGGAAAUUUGAGAGGACCUGUCCUUAGUACGAGAGGACCGGGAUGGACAUACCUCUGGUGUACCAGUUGUGCCGCCAGGCGCAUCGCUGGGUAGCUACGUAUGGAUGUGAUAAACGCUGAAAGCAUCUAAGUGUGAAACACACCUCGAGAUGAGAUUUCCCAUUCCUUUAUGGAAGUAAGACCCCUGAAAGAUGAUCAGGUAGAUAGGUUAGAAGUGGCAGUGCGGUGACGCAUGAAGCGGACUAAUACUAAUCGGUCGAGGACUUAACCAA
Molecule: ribosomal RNA, 2924 nt
Filed under: Lactiplantibacillus plantarum
Lineage: Bacteria; Bacillati; Bacillota; Bacilli; Lactobacillales; Lactobacillaceae
Description: 23S ribosomal RNA
Rfam family: Bacterial large subunit ribosomal RNA
Source: RNAcentral